GAUGAACGCUGGCGGCGUGCCUAAUACAUGCAAGUCGAGCGAACAGACGAGGAGCUUGCUCCUCUGACGUUAGCGGCGGACGGGUGAGUAACACGUGGAUAACCUACCUAUAAGACUGGGAUAACUUCGGGAAACCGGAGCUAAUACCGGAUAAUAUAUUGAACCGCAUGGUUCAAUAGUGAAAGACGGUUUUGCUGUCACUUAUAGAUGGAUCCGCGCCGCAUUAGCUAGUUGGUAAGGUAACGGCUUACCAAGGCAACGAUGCGUAGCCGACCCGAGAGGGUUAACGGUCACCGUAGGAUCAAGACCCCGUCCCGUCGCCCUCGGGAGGCAGCCAUCGGGAAACUUUCCCCAUGGGCGAAAGCCUGACCGAGGCACCCCCCGUGAGGGGUGAAGGGUCUCGGAGUGGAAAACGUCUUUAAUAGGGAAAGAAGAAGGGGUAAGAAACCUGGCACCUUCUGACCGUUCCCUAACAAGAAAGCACCGCCUAACUCCUC
RNAcentral lists this ribosomal RNA (497 nucleotides) under uncultured bacterium. Its description in RNAcentral is "partial 16S ribosomal RNA". It matches the Rfam family "Bacterial small subunit ribosomal RNA", at positions 28 to 506 of the family's 1533-position model. The record is from RNAcentral.